CCGCGAAGCAUCCAGUACGGUAACGCGACCGAUCCCGGCGAAGCUGGCGGGAGCCCCGGGGAGAGUACUCUAUUCUUUGUGAAGGGCAGGGCACCCUGGAAUGGGUUCGCCCUGAGAAAGGGGCCCAAGCCCUGGAAAGCAUUGCGGUGUCCGGUGAGCUCUCCCUGGUCCUUGAAAAUCCAGGGGAGAGGGUGUAAUUCUCGCG
This 205-nucleotide non-coding RNA is filed under the name Salmo salar (Atlantic salmon). RNAcentral describes it as "Eukaryotic large subunit ribosomal RNA". It matches the Rfam family "Eukaryotic large subunit ribosomal RNA", at positions 1624 to 1840 of the family's 3401-position model. Lineage: Eukaryota; Metazoa; Chordata; Actinopteri; Salmoniformes; Salmonidae. The record is from Rfam by way of RNAcentral.